Molecule: long non-coding RNA, 975 nt
Filed under: Homo sapiens (human)
Lineage: Eukaryota; Metazoa; Chordata; Mammalia; Primates; Hominidae
Description: HSALNT0388502
Source: RNAcentral
ACCCCUCUACAUUCUGAUUCUAGUAAUCUUCCUUAGGGAAAACAAUUAAGGACAUACACUAAGUUCUGCCUGUUACGAGCCUUAUUGAUAACACCAUUGAAAUGGAAACAACCUAGUUAUCUAACAAUAAGGAUAGGUUAAAAAACCACACACACACACACAAGUUACAAUGUAUUGAUGUAGCUGAAUGCUAAGCUACCAUUGACAGUCAUCAUGGAAGUGUGCAUUAUUGACUUAGAAAAACAGUGACAGUAUUUUGUCACUGAAAAAGCACAUCUCAGUUUGUUCGGCAUUGUUGCUUUUUUGUGUGGAAAAAAAUACACACACACUUCUUUUUUGUUCAAUUUUACUUUCUGGUUUUUCAACAAUUAUACAUGUUAACUAUAGAGUUUUUAGACAUUAAAACCAGCAACAGCCAGAGUUGUUUUUAGCGAGGACACAGAGAUACUCAGCUGCUCCCAGAAGCCCAGCACAUGAGCAGAGAAAUGGCAUGCUUCCUUCAGACAUCCCCCGCUUGAUCACAGUUGAAGGAAUGUCUCAGAACACCAUGUUAUAAAGUUCUAGCAGCAUCCCUGACAUGUCUGUUGUCAAGAGUUCAGAGAAAGUAUUUCAUGGAACCCAGAUAUAUACCAACACCCAAGGGCUACAAGCAAUGAGAUGCACAGCCACCAGAAAACACAAACCUUCUUGGAGUGUCUUCUGCGGAGCACAGAGAGACUUUGUAAAUAGCAUGGAAGCUUUCAGACAAUGACGCAUAAUGAAUAAAAGUACAGGCUUGGGAAAGUCCUGUCUCUGCCACCAACUCUCUGAUCUUGGACAGGUUACUUCACUUCUCUGAACCUCUUUUCUCACCUAUAAAAUGCAGUAGCUGAACUUGAUCAAGAGAUUUUAAGUUUAUUACCAGAGGAAAUGUUUCUUCUAAUGAAAUCUUAGGUAGAGGCCCAGUACAGAAGACAGAUGGAAACCCAGCUGCUC